AAUUGUGCGAAUCAACGGUUC
This 21-nucleotide non-coding RNA is filed under the name Arabidopsis thaliana (thale cress). The record is from RNAcentral. Lineage: Eukaryota; Viridiplantae; Streptophyta; Magnoliopsida; Brassicales; Brassicaceae.